This 869-nucleotide ribosomal RNA is filed under the name uncultured bacterium. Its description in RNAcentral is "bacterial SSU rRNA". It matches the Rfam family "Bacterial small subunit ribosomal RNA", at positions 103 to 975 of the family's 1533-position model. The record is from RNAcentral.
CGGGUGCGUAACGCGUAUGCAAUCUACCUUUUACAGAGGGAUAGCCCAGAGAAAUUUGGAUUAAUACCUCAUAGUAUUACGACUCGGCAUCGAGAUGUAAUUAAAGUCACAACGGUAAAAGAUGAGCAUGCGUCCCAUUAGCUUGUUGGUAAGGUAACGGCUUACCAAGGCAACGAUGGGUAGGGGUCCUGAGAGGGAGAUCCCCCACACUGGUACUGAGACACGGACCAGACUCCUACGGGAGGCAGCAGUGAGGAAUAUUGGUCAAUGGGCGCAAGCCUGAACCAGCCAUGCCGCGUGCAGGAUGACGGUCCUAUGGAUUGUAAACUGCUUUUGUACAGGAAGAAACAGUUCUACGUGUAGAACCUUGACGGUACUGUAAGAAUAAGGAUCGGCUAACUCCGUGCCAGCAGCCGCGGUAAUACGGAGGAUCCAAGCGUUAUCCGGAAUCAUUGGGUUUAAAGGGUCCGUAGGCGGUUUAGUAAGUCAGUGGUGAAAGCCCAUCGCUCAACGGUGGAACGGCCAUUGAUACUGCUAAACUUGAAUUAUUGUGAAGUAACUAGAAUAUGUAGUGUAGCGGUGAAAUGCUUAGAGAUUACAUGGAAUACCAAUUGCGAAGGCAGGUUACUAACAAUAUAUUGACGCUGAUGGACGAAAGCGUGGGUAGCGAACAGGAUUAGAUACCCUGCUAGUCCACGCCGUAAACGAUGGAUACUAGCUGUUCGGAGCAAUCUGAGUGGCUAAGCGAAAGUGAUAAGUAUCCCACCUGGGGAGUACGUUCGCAAGAAUGAAAACUCAAGGAAUUAACGGGGGCCCGCACAAGCGGUGGAGCAUGUGGUUUAAUUCGAUGAUACGCGAGGAACCUUACC